Molecule: ribosomal RNA, 389 nt
Filed under: uncultured bacterium
Lineage: Bacteria
Description: bacterial SSU rRNA
Rfam family: Bacterial small subunit ribosomal RNA
Source: RNAcentral
AUUGAACGCUGGCGGCGUGCCUAACACAUGCAAGUCGAGCGGUAACAGGUGUAGCAAUACAUGCUGACGAGCGGCGGACGGGUGAGUAACGCUUGGGAAUCUGCCUGUUAGUGGGGGACGAACCCGGGAAACGUCGGGCGUAAUACCGCAUACGCACUACGGUGGAAAGCCGGGACCGCAAGGCCUGGCGCUAACAGAUGAGCCCAAGUCGGAUUAGCUAGUUGGUAGGGUAACGGCCUACCAAGGCGACGAUCCGUAACUGGUCUGAGAGGACGACCAGUCACACCGGAACUGAGACACGGUCCGGACUCCUACGGGAGGCAGCAGUGGGGAAUAUUGGACAAUGGGCGAAAGCCUGAUCCAGCGACGCCGCGUGGGUGAAGAAGGCC